This 919-nucleotide long non-coding RNA is filed under the name Zalophus californianus (California sea lion). Its description in RNAcentral is "lncRNA (ENSZCAG00015010468.1)". The record is from RNAcentral. Lineage: Eukaryota; Metazoa; Chordata; Mammalia; Carnivora; Otariidae.
CUCCUGAGAAACACCUUCCCCAAUCCCACCCUCUAUUUCUACCCUGCUCCCAUCCCUCAUUAAAACCCUAUCCCCUUCCCACCCCUCCCUACCCCACCCGCCCCUCCCUCCACUCCACCCCCCAUCUCCACCUCCUCCCCGUCACCCCAGCGCCCCUUGAAAGGACCAAGACAUGAAGGUGCAGAGGCUGUUGUUCUGGCUGCUCUUGCUCUGGUGUCCCAGUUCCCCAAACCCAAAUGAAGCUGGAAAAUACACACUGUGAACUGAAGGCACAGAAGAGUCAACUGGCAGCUGCUGAGGAAAAUUUGAAACUGGUUACCGAAGAGAUAGACAAGUAUAAACAAGAAAUUGGAGAAAUGCAAGAUCAGCUACAGAAGGCAGAGCUCAACUUCAAACUCAAGGUCGCAGCUCAUGAGAGAAGUGCUCUAGAUAAUUGGGUUAAGGCUCGGUUUUGGGAGAGGAAGAUAGUGCAGCAGAGCAGGGAGAACACCUACAUGAAACACAGACUGCACAUGAUGAGGAGAGACACGCCUCCUGAGGGAUCCAUGAGGCAGGAACCGAUGCCGGGAAGAUCCGAGAUAUGGAACCGUGUGCAGAGAGAAUCUAGACCGGUUCCCAGGAUGAACAGCAGCACCAGCCCGAAAAAGGACCCGGAGAUGGCUACGGACAGGAAAUUUGAAAUUUGAAGACCUCCCUGAGCAAUUACAACCAGGCGGUGUGUGUAUAUAUUUAGAAAAUUGUCAGAUCAGCCUAAUGUCCUGAAUGCUGUCCCUGCCCAUCCUGUCCCCUGUGCUCUGUCUCUCCUGGUAUCCCCCAAAUAAACCUUUCACAGUUCUGUCUCUGUGUCAGCGUCUGCCUUCAGGAGGCCCUACAGUCACUCGCCUUCGAGUGCACAGUGUGAAUCCCGUACACAGAACAA